RNAcentral lists this ribosomal RNA (465 nucleotides) under Vreelandella stevensii. Its description in RNAcentral is "partial 16S ribosomal RNA". It matches the Rfam family "Bacterial small subunit ribosomal RNA", at positions 338 to 795 of the family's 1533-position model. Lineage: Bacteria; Pseudomonadati; Pseudomonadota; Gammaproteobacteria; Oceanospirillales; Halomonadaceae. The record is from RNAcentral.
CCUACGGGUGGCAGCAGUGGGGAAUAUUGGACAAUGGGGGGAACCCUGAUCCAGCCAUGCCGCGUGUGUGAAGAAGGCCCUCGGGUUGUAAAGCACUUUCAGUGAGGAAGAACGCCUGGUGGUUAAUACCCAUCAGGAAAGACAUCACUCACAGAAGAAGCACCGGCUAACUCCGUGCCAGCAGCCGCGGUAAUACGGAGGGUGCGAGCGUUAAUCGGAAUUACUGGGCGUAAAGCGCGCGUAGGUGGCUUGAUAAGCCGGUUGUGAAAGCCCCGGGCUCAACCUGGGAACGGCAUCCGGAACUGUCAAGCUAGAGUGCAGGCGAGGAAGGUAGAAUUCCCGGUGUAGCGGUGAAAUGCGUAGAGAUCGGGAGGAAUACCAGUGGCGAAGGCGGCCUUCUGGACUGACACUGACACUGAGGUGCGAAAGCGUGGGUAGCAAACAGGAUUAGAUACCCUUGUAGUC